Molecule: ribosomal RNA, 858 nt
Filed under: uncultured bacterium
Lineage: Bacteria
Description: bacterial SSU rRNA
Rfam family: Bacterial small subunit ribosomal RNA
Source: RNAcentral
GAUGAACGCUGGCGGUAUGCCUUAUACAUGCCAGUCGUACGAGAGUUUUUAACUCUAGUGGCGGACGGGUGAGUAACACGUAAGAAUUUGCCUUUAGGAGGGGGACAACAACUGGAAACGGUUGCUAAUACCCCAUAUGCUUUCGAGUGAAAUGGAUUUCCGCCUAAAGAGAAGCUUGCGGCUGAUUAGCUUGUUGGUAGGGUAAUGGCCUACCAAGGCGACGAUCAGUAUCUGGUUUGAGAGGACGAUCAGACACACUGGAACUGAGACACGGUCCAGACUCCUACGGGAGGCAGCAGUAGGGAAUUUUCCGCAAUGGGCGAAAGCCUGACGGAGCAAUACCGCGUGAGGGAUGACUGCCUAUGGGUUGUAAACCUCUUUUUUCAGGGAGGAAUAAAUGACGUGUACCUGAAGAAUAAGCAUCGGCUAACUCCGUGCCAGCAGCCGCGGUAAGACGGAGGAUGCAAGUGUUAUCCGGAAUCACUGGGCGUAAAGCGUCUGUAGGUGGCUCGACAAGUCAACUGUUAAAUCUUGAAGCUCAACUUCGAAAUCGCAGUCGAAACUAUCGAACUAGAGUAUAGUAGAGGUAAAGGGAAUUUCCAGUGGAGCGGUGAAAUGCGUAGAGAUUGGAAAGAACACCGAUGGCGAAGGCACUUUACUGGGCUAUUACUGACACUCAGAGACGAAAGCUAGGGUAGCAAAUGGGAUUUAGAUACCCCAGUAGUCCCUAGCCGUAAACAAUGGAUACUAGGUGUUGAACAGAUCGACCUGUGCAGUACCAAAGCUAACGCGUUAAGUAUCCCCGCCCUGGGAAGUAUGCACGCCAGUGUGAAACUCAAGGGAAUUGACGGGGGCCCG